This 72-nucleotide transfer RNA is filed under the name Rhabdopleura sp. NHMO H2136. RNAcentral describes it as "tRNA-Val". The record is from RNAcentral. Lineage: Eukaryota; Metazoa; Hemichordata; Pterobranchia; Rhabdopleurida; Rhabdopleuridae.
UGGAUCAGAGUUCGGUAGUUGAAUUCUUCUUUUACACGGAAGGUGUUAUUUGUGCAAAUCAAAUUGGUCUUA